GAACUCCCGGACCGCGAGAUCGUGACCUGGCUGAAGUCGGACGCUUAACCGACUGCGCCACCCAGGCGCCCCUUGUUUGUUUGUUUUUACAUGAUAGAAAUCUCCUGUCCUACAAAACUUCUCUUCUGAGCUGGGUUUAUCUGGGAUGACAGUGGGUGUUACGGAUCUUGAUUCCUCCAGGUUCUUAGGGGCAUUUUCUUCAGACAGGAAUUCCAGAGGGAUCUCUACUUUUCGCCUCUGUUCUUUAGAUUCAAGAGACAUUCUGUGUGUUGACCUUUUAUUUUGAAGCUUUAUGAAAUCUGAAUGACAGGGUAUCAAUACAUUGAAACCCUGACUAUCUUAAACUCACUGUUCUCAGAUCCCACAGUCUAAAGCUUUAAAUUCCCAUGAACUGUUGCUUUUUCUGUUCUUCCAUAUCACUCUACAGUGAAACUGGAACUGGAACCAUCAAAGGGACUUCAUUCUUAGGCACAUUUUUUUUAAUGUUUUUAUUUAUUUUUGAAGGAGAGAGAGAGAGAGACAGAGCAUGAAUGCGGGAGGAGCAGAGAGAGAGGGGAGACACAGAAUCCGAAGCAGGCUCCAGGCUCUGAGCUGUCAGCACAGAGCCCAACGCAGGGCUUGAACCCAUAAACUGUGAGAUCAUGACCUGAGCCGAAGCCGGAGGCUCAACCGACUGAGCCACUCAGGUGCCCACACUUAGGCACAUUUUUACACAAUUUGACACAAGUGAGAGUUUCAUAUUUCGUUAUUUUGUUCUGUACUAAAAAGGAUCCUCUAAUAAUUGGGUCUUGGGUUUAGAUCGGCCAGCUAUCCUGGACUUUAAAUUCAUUUAUUCAUAGGUGUUUAUUGAACUUUCUUAACUUCAUCUUUAUUCCUUCAGUAGGUAUUUAAUGAGGUGCUCGAGGUAUAGCAUCUUUCCCUCAAAGACCACUGGGUAACUGGCUGGUCCACCUAAACUUGUAUUAGAUUUCAUUCAUUCUAAGGCCAUUGCUUUUUUUGUGUUUUCUUUUGUUUUAGACCGAGGAUGACUCCACACAUCUACUUAUUUCUGGUGGGAAAUGCAUUCCUUUUGACAAAGUCUGACUCUGAAAAUAGCCCUGCUUAUUAGUUGGCAGCUGUUGUUCCAGACCUUAUGCUUAUUUCAAGGGCUUUAGGUAUGGGGUGUAUAUCUUAGGUUGAGGUUUCUUCGUGAGCAAUAGGAAAAAUAUCCUUUGCUUAUACAAAACAUGUUUAUUAUGGCACUGGUGUGGCACCGUCCUCAAGACCACAGACUUUUUGGUGCUAGCUGUAGCUGGUCGACAUUUCCAAGGUUACCUCAUAGUCCAAGAUGGCUACUCUAGCUCCAGCCAUCAUCUCUGCAUCUCAGCCACCCAAAAGGUGAAAGGACAAAGAAAUAAGGUUAAAAGAUAACGCAGCAGACAUUCUUUAAGCAUUGUGUACCUAUUUUUCCAGCCAUGUCCUCAAUCUUUGCUACUUGUGAGUGCACUUUUUUUCUGAUAUCAAAGAGUAACUCUCUGUCAUCUCUCUAAAUACUUUAUGGUAAUGGAUCACACUCUUUAAUUCCAGAAGAUCCUGGCUGUGAAACGUGUUUAUCCAUAAAAGAAAGAGGAAAAGCGCAACACAACAUUACUGACUUUAAAAAUGCUUCUAAUGCAUCUUUAAAAAUGAACUCACAAAAUUAAAAGCAAAUAGAGAUAAAUGCUCCCAUUUUUUCCCCUGCACAUUGAAAAGCCUCCGAAAGUGUUGAUGGCUUUCUCCGUAUUCACGAAGGAGUACUUGAUUGCACCUGCAGGCCAACCCAGUGCUCUCUUUGGUUAAUGCUGUAUUUGUCACUGACAUCAUGUCUAAAUACCCCCUAGGACGCAGUGUAAGCCCGAGAUUGAGUUCAGUGGGACCAGAAGCAUCCCUGCGUGAGUGCCUUUGACAGCUCCUCGGCACGAUGCUGUUGGGUACCUCGGGCUGAGAACAGGCCUCAGUUCAGGUGGCACCCAUUUUAGCGGUCUUAUUUAUUGCCAGUGAAGCGCUCUGGCCAUGCCGUCUUCCAGCUGCACGUCUGUGGCCUAAUGUUUCUUGGGAGGUGCUGCCGGACCGCUUUGGAAGGCAGCAGUGAGCCAUUAGAAGUCAAUUGAGCUAGCCAUUUACUGCAGUAUCAUUUCCUUCCCAAGUUCUCGAAGCAUUUCCCAGUGUGCAUGGCAGGAUGCAGGAGGACGGCAGGGUUUGCAGGGGCCUCUUGAUACAGGUAGUCUGGAUCUUCCUGAAAGUGCACCGUCUACCGGGGCACUGGAAGUGUGCCACCGAUGCCUAGAGCCAGCUGAGUGAUGGUUGGCCGGGUCCCUGGGGAGAAGAGCUCUGGAACAAAACAAGACGAAAGCCAGGGAGGAAAGCCUGCUGCCCUCCAAGGGCCAAGGCCACGCUGGAGAGGAAGGUUCCCGCAGAGCGGUGCUCCUUCGUUCCUCCCUCCUCCCAAAUGCAGCAGUUGCAAGAGCGCCAGUGGCGUAGCGGCCCGGGGCCACCAGCCUGGGCCCUCCUGAGUCGGGGCCCCGUGCGUCAGUCCCCCACGCCGUGGAAACUUGGACUUUGCAAAGAGGGAAGGACCACAGCUGCCCAGUGGAGCGCCCAGCUCUUCCAGGCAUGCCAUGUUGUGAUCGAGAACAUUUUUUAAACUGUCAAGAAUUAAAGGCACAGUGCUGUCAUCCCUCC
This is a long non-coding RNA of Felis catus (domestic cat), 2700 nucleotides long. RefSeq lists it as uncharacterized. The transcript has 2 exons. NCBI's taxonomy places the organism in Eukaryota, Metazoa, Chordata, Mammalia, Carnivora, Felidae. The record is from RefSeq and is a predicted model, not a curated record.